This is a long non-coding RNA of Lepidothrix coronata (blue-crowned manakin), 2152 nucleotides long. RefSeq lists it as uncharacterized. The transcript is spliced from 2 exons. The record is from RefSeq and is a predicted model, not a curated record. Lineage: Eukaryota; Metazoa; Chordata; Aves; Passeriformes; Pipridae.
GAGGUGCUGUGAAUAUGUCCCAGGGACAAAUGGUCUGUUUUAGGGACAGCUGUGAAUGCAUCAAUAAAAGAUGCAGCAUCAGUCAGUUACUAAAUGACCCUUUAGGCUCUGGAAAUAAGUAACAAUUAACAAAAACUACUCUCAAGCAAGAGAGAAUACUGUUCCCUUCAGGAAAGGUGGAAACUUGAAGCCGAGAGCCAAAAAUGCCAGUUCAUGUGUCCUAAGGGAGCUUUUUCAGAAGAAAAACACAGAAAUACUGCCUGUAUGGGUGGCACAGAGCAGCCCCUGUCUCAGCACAGUGUACCUUUCCACAAGUUUAUUUUUUCUGGGAUUAUUUUGCUACCUACCUCCCAAAGCUUGCUUUACAGAAUCGUAGUGCUGUGUAAUAUACACCUAGAGAGAAAAUAUAGAGGGUCAGGCUCUUUGCUGGCAUGAGCGAGUCAGUGAUGACGCAGCAACAGUCAGCAGGGGUGGAAAAUGGCCCUUUUAGCUAAAUAUAUGAAAUAUACAUAUAUUUUCCCCAAAGGAUAAGCUGGAAAUCAUAGUGGUAUAUUCAAGGGGAGCCAAGGGAAAAAAGUGAACAUGAAUAAAAGGCAGGCACAAAGCCAAGAGGUUUGAAGUUAGAGCCACGUUUACAUGUAAAGCCACGUUUACACACUGAGGCUUAAAGAGCUCCUUUACUGUGACUCCUUUGCCAGUGCUGCCAAUUCCUGCUGGCAUAGGAAGAGGUGCCAGUCCCCAGAAAAUUGGGACAUCUGAGUGGAUGAAGGGUCUGAAUGUAGGCAACCCCUUGCAGGGGCUUGCUGGGAUCUGUCUGGAAAUUCUUUCUCCUCCUCCUCCUCCACAUGCGGUGACUCCUAAAAUGCUGCAAGCAGUGGGGAAAGGAGCAGUAGGGCUUCCAGGGUGAAAUCUUCAGCUGAAAUCUUGGCCUUUCCUGGCUGGUGGGAAUGCGGCCCAGACUUCUGUCCAGAUGGGAAUUCAUUCCCUGUGCCCUGAGCUCCAAACCCGCUCUGUUUGGCUGGCACCAGAAGCGCUCCUGCAGAGCUCAGCCCUUGCACGAGAUGUCAGCGGUGACACAGUGCAGGCGUCGCUGCUGCUUUGUGAACACCGAGGGGAACUUGGGAUCGGAAAUUCCUUACUGGAUAAGAAAGGUAGAGGCAUGCAGCAGCCUGCUCGCUCGUGGUCACGUCCUGGGAGGAGGAGGAAGGUAACCUUCCUCUCUGCCGCUCGCCUACAGGAAGGGAUGUCACAUGAGGGCCCCCAUCUCGGCUCUAUCUGAGCCCUAAAUCUCAUUUAUUCAGGCAAAACUCCCACCGUUUGCGGCGAGGAGUUUUGCCAGAGUAAACACGGCAGAUCUGGGUCUUCGCCCUGUUUUGUUUGCAUUGAUUGCUCUGAGGGGAAACCCACGCUGGAGCUGCGCAUCCCACCCUUCCCCGUGUUGCCCAAUGCACAUGCACAAACCUCUAAACUCCUUCAGGGUUUGGGAGGUUCUGGGGGGAUCCUAUCCUGCCUCUUUCCAUCCUGUCACCACGUGGGAGCAGCUCAGGAGGACACAUCUGGUGUUCAGGCUUUGCGCCUGGUUGUGCUGCUGUUUUGGCUGAACUCAUCCCUGCCUCGGGAGCUGGGGUGCUGGGAUGCAGCUCCACGGAGCGUUUGGGGGGUUCCUGUGUGUGUGCUGCAGUUGGGAAGUGCUGUCCAACCCUCCCCUUCCUGCUGCUUGCUUUUGUCCUGGUUGGAAGAGCUAUAAACCCUCCUGGUUUAGGGCAUGCAGCAAAUUCGGACCGAUUUAAGACAGGAGGAGUCCCCCUGGGAGCUGGAUACGAGUUUGCUCUGUGCUGCCAAUAAUUUGGGGUGUAAACUGGAAUGACUGGGAAACGUGCACAACGCCAGCUCUGGAUCCCUGAUUUUGGUGUAAACAAAGGGCUAAAUGCGGUGUGAGAUGAGUUUAGAUGGAUUGAUAGCACUUGGCAACUUAAACAGCCUUUCCGUGUUCCCUUGAGUUAUUUCUGCUGUCACAGAGUGUUCCUCUUUUUAAUUAGGAUUUUUUAAAUAUAGCUACUGUAGAGUAUUUUACAGUGUGUGAAUAAAUGGUAACAGAAUAAUAUAAUGAUGUUAGAGAUUAUGAUUUGCCAUUAAAUACCAUACAGAUAUC